AAACUUUUAGCAACGGAUCUCUUGGCUCUAGCAUCGAUGAAGAACGCAGCGAAAUGCGAAAAGUAAUGCGAAUUGCAGAUUAGUGAGUCAUCGAAUCUUUGAACGCACAUUGCGCCUGCUAGCAACUAUAGCAGGCAUGCCUGUCCGAGCGUUAUC
Molecule: ribosomal RNA, 156 nt
Filed under: Ophiocordyceps irangiensis
Lineage: Eukaryota; Fungi; Ascomycota; Sordariomycetes; Hypocreales; Ophiocordycipitaceae
Description: 5.8S ribosomal RNA
Rfam family: 5.8S ribosomal RNA
About the family: 5.8S ribosomal RNA (5.8S rRNA) is a component of the large subunit of the eukaryotic ribosome. It is transcribed by RNA polymerase I as part of the 45S precursor that also contains 18S and 28S rRNA.
Source: RNAcentral